Molecule: ribosomal RNA, 1493 nt
Filed under: uncultured bacterium
Lineage: Bacteria
Description: bacterial SSU rRNA
Rfam family: Bacterial small subunit ribosomal RNA
Source: RNAcentral
GAGAGUUUGAUCCUGGCUCAGGAUGAACGCUAGCUACAGGCUUAACACAUGCAAGUCGAGGGGCAGCAUGGUCUUAGCUUGCUAAGGCCGAUGGCGACCGGCGCACGGGUGAGUAACGCGUAUCCAACCUGCCUUACACUCUUGGACAGCCUUCUGAAAGGGAGAUUAAUACAAGAUGUUAUCAUGAGUAAGCAUUUUCGCAUGAUUAAAGGUUUACCGGUGUAAGAUGGGGAUGCGUUCCAUUAGAUAGUAGGCGGGGUAACGGCCCACCUAGUCUUCGAUGGAUAGGGGUUCUGAGAGGAAGGUCCCCCACAUUGGAACUGAGACACGGUCCAAACUCCUACGGGAGGCAGCAGUGAGGAAUAUUGGUCAAUGGACGAGAGUCUGAACCAGCCAAGUAGCGUGAAGGAUGAAGGUUCUAUGGAUUGUAAACUUCUUUUAUACGGGAAUAAACGAAUCCACGUGUGGAUUUUUGCAUGUACCGUAUGAAUAAGGAUCGGCUAACUCCGUGCCAGCAGCCGCGGUAAUACGGAGGAUCCGAGCGUUAUCCGGAUUUAUUGGGUUUAAAGGGAGCGUAGAUGGGUUGUUAAGUCAGUUGUGAAAGUUUGCGGCUCAACCGUAAAAUUGCAAUUGAUACUGGCAGUCUUGAGUACAGUUGAGGUAGGCGGAAUUCGUGGUGUAGCGGUGAAAUGCUUAGAUAUCACGAAGAACUCCGAUUGCGAAGGCAGCUUACUAACCUGUAACUGACAUUGAUGCUCGAAAGUGUGGGUAUCAAACAGGAUUAGAUACCCUGGUAGUCCACACGGUAAACGAUGAAUACUCGCUGUAGGCGAUAUACAGUCUGCGGCCAAGCGAAAGCAUUAAGUAUUCCACCUGGGGAGUACGCCGGCAACGGUGAAACUCAAAGGAAUUGACGGGGGCCCGCACAAGCGGAGGAACAUGUGGUUUAAUUCGAUGAUACGCGAGGAACCUUACCCGGGCUUAAAUUGCAACCGAAUAUGGCGGAAACGCUAUAGCUAGCAAUAGCGGUUGUGAAGGUGCUGCAUGGUUGUCGUCAGCUCGUGCCGUGAGGUGUCGGCUUAAGUGCCAUAACGAGCGCAACCCUUGCCGAUAGUUACUAACAGGUUAUGCUGAGGACUCUGUCGGGACUGCCAUCGUAAGAUGUGAGGAAGGUGGGGAUGACGUCAAAUCAGCACGGCCCUUACGUCCGGGGCUACACACGUGUUACAAUGGGGGGUACAGAGGGCUGCUACCACGCAAGUGGAUGCCAAUCCCAAAAACCUCUCUCAGUUCGGAUUGAAGUCUGCAACCCGACUUCAUGAAGCUGGAUUCGCUAGUAAUCGCGCAUCAGCCACGGCGCGGUGAAUACGUUCCCGGGCCUUGUACACACCGCCCGUCAAGCCAUGGGAGCCGGGGGUACCUGAAGUGCGUAACCGCAAGGAGCGCCCUAGGGUAAAACUGGUGACUGGGGCUAAGUCGUAACAAGGUAGCCG